This 399-nucleotide ribosomal RNA is filed under the name uncultured bacterium. RNAcentral's name for it is "bacterial SSU rRNA". It matches the Rfam family "Bacterial small subunit ribosomal RNA", at positions 356 to 773 of the family's 1533-position model. The record is from RNAcentral.
GGGGAAUAUUGCACAAUGGGCGAAAGCCUGAUGCAGCAACGCCGCGUGAGCGAUGAAGGCCUUCGGGUCGUAAAGCUCUGUCCUCAAGGAAGAUAAUGACGGUACUUGAGGAGGAAGCCCCGGCUAACUACGUGCCAGCAGCCGCGGUAAUACGUAGGGGGCUAGCGUUAUCCGGAAUUACUGGGCGUAAAGGGUGCGUAGGUGGUUUCUUAAGUCAGAAGUGAAAGGCUACGGCUCAACCGUAGUAAGCUUUUGAAACUGAGAAACUUGAGUGCAGGAGAGGAGAGUAGAAUUCCUAGUGUAGCGGUGAAAUGCGUAGAUAUUAGGAGGAAUACCAGUUGCGAAGGCGGCUCUCUGGACUGUAACUGACACUGAGGCACGAAAGCGUGGGGAGCAAAC